UGUAUGUUGCGUGAUUAACUACUCAUGGUGUGAUUGUGGUAAUAUACAGAAACUCAAGUUCUUUUUUUCACCCGACCUAGAAUACCUCACAAUCAAAUGCUUGACCGUAUUACCUCACAAGAGAAUUCUCUUCGGUUAUAUUCACAGCAGUGUAUAUUCCCCCUCAAGCUGAUCCCACGAUGGCCUCAAGGAACUACACUGGGCUUUGUGCAAACUGGAAAUCGUAUAUCCAUCCUGAGGAUGCAUUUAUUGUAGCUGGGGAUUUUAACAAAGGAAAUUAGUGGAAAAAGCUACUGAAGUUCUAUCAACACAUUGACUUUAGUACUGGCUUCGGAAAAACUCUAGACCACUGCUUCCUACAAGGCCCUCCCCCGCCCUCCCUUCGGCAAAUCAAAUCACAACUCCAUUUUGCACCUCCCUUCCUAUAGGCAGAAACUCAGUACGGGCACUUCCUGUUUUAAGGUCUAUUAAACGCUGGUCUGACCAAUUGGAAUCCAUUCUUCAAGAUUGUUUUGCUAUGCUCCGGGUUGCCUCUGAGAAUAACAUUGACAUAUUCCCGGACACGGUGACUGAUUUUCAUCAGGAAGUGUGUAUGGGGUGUUGUUCCCACGGUGACUAUUAAAACCUAUCCCAACCGUGGCUAGAUGGCAACAUUCGUGUAAAACUAAAAGCGGGAACCACCGCAUUUAACCAUGGCAAGGUGACUGGGAAUAUGGCCGAAUACAAACAGUGUAGUUGUUCCCUCUGUAAGGCAAUCAAACAGGCAAAACGUCAGUAUAGAGACAAAGUGGAGUCGCAAUUCAACGGCUCAGACACGAGACGUAUGUAGCAGGGUCUACAGACAAUCACGGUCUACAAAGGGAAAACCAGCCACACUGACGUCUUGCUCCCGGACAAGCUAAACACCUUCUUCACCGGCUUUGAGGAUAACACAGUGCCUCCGACACUGCCCAAGGACUGUGGGCUCUCAUUCUACAUGGCCGUCGUGAGUUUAAGCGUGUUAACCCUUGCAAGGCUGCCGGCCCAGACAUCAUCCUUAACCGCGUCCUCAGAGCAUGCGCAGACCAGCUGGCUGAAGUGUUUACGGACAUAUUCAAUCUCUCCCUAUCCCAGUCUGCUGUCCCCACUUGCUUCAAGAUGUCCACCAAGAAAGCAAAGGUAACUGAACUAAAUGGCUACAGCCUCGUAGCCCUCACUUGUGUCAUCAUGAAGUGCUUUGACAAGCUAGUUAAGGAUCAUAUCACCUCUACCUUACCUGACACCCUAGACCCACUUCAAUUUGCUUUCCGCCCCAAUAUAUACACAGAUGGCGCCAUCGCACUGCACUACCCUAUCCCAUUUGGGCAAAAGGAAUACAGUGCAUUUGGAAAGUAUUCAGACCCCUUGACUUUUUCCACAUUAUGUUACAUUACAGCCUUGUUAUAAAAUUGAUUGAAUUACUAUUUUUCCUCAGCAAUCUACAGACAAUACCCCCAUAAUGACAUCACAAUACCCCAUAAUGACAAAGCAAAACCUGUUUUUUUAAAUAAAAAAACAUUACUUAUGUAAAUAAGGUUUCAGACCCUUUGCUAUGAGACUCGAAAUUGAGCUCAGAUGCAUCCUGUUUCCAUUAAGCACCCUUGAGAUGUUUCUAUAUCUUGAUUGGAGUCCACCUGUGGUAAAUUCAUUUGAUUGGACAUGAUUUGGAAAGGAACACACCUGUCUAUAUAAGGUCCCACAGUUGACAGUGCAUCAGAGCAAAAACCAAGCCAUGAGGUCAAGGAAAUUGUCCAGAGAUACAAGACCGGAUUGUGUCGAGGCACAGAUCUGGAGAAGGGUACCAACAAACAUUCUGCAGCAUUGAAGGUCCCCAAGAACACAGUGGCCUCCAUCAUUCUUAAAUGGAAGAAGAUUGGAACCACCAAGACUCUUCCUUGAGCUGGCCAAACUGAGCAAUCGGGGAGGUGACCAAGAACCUGAGUCACUCUGACAGAGCUCCAUAGUUCCUCUGUGGAGAUGGAGAACCUUCCAGGACAACCAUCUCUGCAGCACUCCACCAAUCAGGCCUUUAUGGUAGAGUGGCCAGACGGAAGCCACUCCUCAGUAUAAGGCACAUGAAGACUUUCAGACCAUGAGAAACAAGAUUCUCUGGUCUGAUGAAACCGAUUUGAACUCUUUUGGCCUGAAUGCCAAGUGUCACAUCUGGAGGGAACCUGGCACCAUCCCUACGAUGAAACAUGGUGGUGACAGAAUAGUGUUGUGGGAAUGUUUUUAGGAGACUAGUCAGGAUCGAGGGAAAGAUGAACGGAGCAAAGUACAAAGAGACACAUCACUGAAAUUGGCCACACCGACAGUGAAGAAGGUGCAAGAGGAGGUUAAAGAAAUGUGUCUCUGCCUCUAAGACAAUCACAAUCUUCUACAGAUGCACAAUUGAGCAUCCUGUCGGGCUGUAUCACCGCCUGGUAUGGCAACUGCUCCGCCCACAACUGUAAGGCUCUCCAGAGGGUAGUGAGGUCUGCACAACGCAUCACCGGGGGCAAACUACCUGCCCUCCAGGACACCUACACCACCCGAUGUUACAGGAAGGCCAUAAAGAUCAUCAAGGACAACAACCACCCGAGCCACUGCCUGUUCACCCCGCUAUCAUCCAGAAGGCGAGAAAAUCAAUCGCUACAAGUGAGUCAAGCCUCUGGUUGGGUGAAGUUGGAAAAGCUGGAGGAAUCUACCAAGCCAGGCCCAAGGAGGGGUCUACAACCACAAGGCCAAACAGCAGACAACAAGCCAACAAAACACAGAAGACAGAAGUGACAAGCUGUUUACAUUUGAUUUGAUUUGAUUUUAUACUGUUAGUAAGUAGAACUGAUUACGUUAUUAUUGGUGAAAUCUAGACAUUUUUGUGGUAGACAUUUAGAAAGAUUUGUAUUAGUAAUUUUGAUGGGUUGGGAAUAUAACUUGAGAAGCCGUGUUAAUAUUAUCUCUGAGGGACUGAAUAUUUUUCAGUGAAAUAUUUACUGUUCAAUAAAUUAAAGUAAUGAACCAAUGUAUGGUGACUUUUAAUGGACUUUACAAUGAAAUGGUUUAUCUAGGGGAACAUUUAUCGAGG
This is a long non-coding RNA of Oncorhynchus tshawytscha (Chinook salmon), 3082 nucleotides long. The record is from Ensembl. NCBI's taxonomy places the organism in Eukaryota, Metazoa, Chordata, Actinopteri, Salmoniformes, Salmonidae.